Molecule: ribosomal RNA, 274 nt
Filed under: uncultured bacterium
Lineage: Bacteria
Description: partial 16S ribosomal RNA
Rfam family: Bacterial small subunit ribosomal RNA
Source: RNAcentral
ACACGUACCGUACGAACGUUAUUCGGAAUUACUGGGCUUAAAGAGUCCGUAGGCGGCUCGAAAGGUGAGGUGUGAAAUCCCACGGCUUAACCGUGGAACUGCGCUUCAAACCAUCGAGCUAGAGGGAGACAGAGGUGAGCGGAACUGAUGGUGGAGCGGUGAAAUGCGUUGAUAUCAUCAGGAACACCGGUGGCGAAAGCGGCUCACUGGGUCUCUUCUGACGCUGAGGGACGAAAGCUAGGGGAGCGAACGGGAUUAGAAACCCUAGUAGUCC